Molecule: transfer RNA, 70 nt
Filed under: Pedopodisma emeiensis
Lineage: Eukaryota; Metazoa; Arthropoda; Insecta; Orthoptera; Acrididae
Description: tRNA-Ser
Rfam family: tRNA
About the family: Transfer RNA (tRNA) molecules are approximately 80 nucleotides in length.
Source: RNAcentral
AGUUAAUUAGCUUAAGAAAAGUAUAUGUUUUGAAAACAUAAAAUUAGAAGUUUAAUUCUUCUAUUAACUU